This 253-nucleotide ribosomal RNA is filed under the name uncultured bacterium. Its description in RNAcentral is "partial 16S ribosomal RNA". It matches the Rfam family "Bacterial small subunit ribosomal RNA", at positions 524 to 776 of the family's 1533-position model. The record is from RNAcentral.
UACGGAGGGUGCAAGCGUUAUCCGGAUUCACUGGGUUUAAAGGGAGCGCAGGCGGAUUUGUAAGUCAGUGGUGAAAGGCUUAAGCUUAACUUGGGAACUGCCAUUGAUACUAUAAGUCUUGAAUGUUGUUGAGGCGGGCGGAAUGUGUCGUGUAGCGGUGAAAUGCUUAGAUAUGACACAGAACACCGAUUGCGUAGGCAGCUCGCUAAACUCUUACUGACGCUGAGGCACGAAAGCAUGGGGAUCAAACAGG